CAAACCAAAGCUGGCGACCGGCGCACGGGUGAGUAACACGUAUCCAACCUGCCUCAUACUCGGGGAUAGCCUUUCGAAAGAAAGAUUAAUAUCCGAUAGCAUGUAUUUCCCGCAUGGGUUUUAUAUUAAAGAAAUUCGGUAUGAGAUGGGGAUGCGUUCCAUUAGUUUGUUGGGGGGGUAACGGCCCACCAAGACUACGAUGGAUAGGGGUUCUGAGAGGAAGGUCCCCCACAUUGGAACUGAGACACGGUCCAA
RNAcentral lists this ribosomal RNA (255 nucleotides) under uncultured bacterium. RNAcentral's name for it is "partial 16S ribosomal RNA". It matches the Rfam family "Bacterial small subunit ribosomal RNA", at positions 74 to 334 of the family's 1533-position model. The record is from RNAcentral.